ACGGGUGAGUAACACGUGGGAACGUGCCCUUCGGUUCGGAAUAACUCAGGGAAACUUGAGCUAAUACCGGAUACGCCCUUAUGGGGAAAGGUUUACUGCCGAAGGAUCGGCCCGCGUCUGAUUAGCUUGUUGGUGGGGUAACGGCCUACCAAGGCGACGAUCAGUAGCUGGUCUGAGAGGAUGAUCAGCCACACUGGGACUGAGACACGGCCCAGACUCCUACGGGAGGCAGCAGUGGGGAAUAUUGGACAAUGGGCGCAAGCCUGAUCCAGCCAUGCCGCGUGAGUGAUGAAGGCCUUAGGGUUGUAAAGCUCUUUUGUCCGGGACGAUAAUGACGGUACCGGAAGAAUAAGCCCCGGCUAACUUCGUGCCAGCAGCCGCGGUAAUACGAAGGGGGCUAGCGUUGCUCGGAAUCACUGGGCGUAAAGGGCGCGUAGGCGGCCGAUUAAGUCGGGGGUGAAAGCCUGUGGCUCAACCACAGAAUUGCCCUCGAUACUGGUUGGCUUGAGACCGGAAGAGGACAGCGGAACUGCGAGUGUAGAGGUG
This 546-nucleotide ribosomal RNA is filed under the name uncultured bacterium. Its description in RNAcentral is "bacterial SSU rRNA". It matches the Rfam family "Bacterial small subunit ribosomal RNA", at positions 102 to 683 of the family's 1533-position model. The record is from RNAcentral.